GAUGAACGCUGGCGGCGUGCCUAAUACAUGCAAGUCGAGCGAACGGACGAGAAGCUUGCUUCUCUGAUGUUAGCGGCGGACGGGUGAGUAACACGUGGAUAACCUACCUAUAAGACUGGGAUAACUUCGGGAAACCGGAGCUAAUACCGGAUGAUAUUUUGAACCGCAUGGUUCAAAGGUGAAAGACGGUCUUGCUGUCACUUAUAGAUGGAUCCGCGCUGCAUUAGCUAGUUGGUAAGGUAACGGCUUACCAAGGCAACGAUGCAUAGCCGACCUGAGAGGGUGAUCGGCCACACUGGAACUGAGACACGGUCCAGACUCCUACGGGAGGCAGCAGUAGGGAAUCUUCCGCAAUGGGCGAAAGCCUGACGGAGCAACGCCGCGUGAGUGAUGAAGGUCUUCGGAUCGUAAAACUCUGUUAUUAGGGAAGAACAUAUGUGUAAGUAACUGUGCACAUCUUGACGGUACCUAAUCAGAAAGCCACGGCUAACUACGUGCCAGCAGCCGCGGUAAUACGUAGGUGGCAAGCGUUAUCCGGAAUUAUUGGGCGUAAAGCGCGCGUAGGCGGUUUUUUAAGUCUGAUGUGAAAGCCCACGGCUCAACCGUGGAGGGUCAUUGGAAACUGGAAAACUUGAGUGCAGAAGAGGAAAGUGGAAUUCCAUGUGUAGCGGUGAAAUGCGCAGAGAUAUGGAGGAACACCAGUGGCGAAGGCGACUUUCUGGUCUGUAACUGACGCUGAUGUGCGAAAGCGUGGGGAUCAAACAGGAUUAGAUACCCUGGUAGUCCACGCCGUAAACGAUGAGUGCUAAGUGUUAGGGGGUUUCCGCCCCUUAGUGCUGCAGCUAACGCAUUAAGCACUCCGCCUGGGGAGUACGACCGCAAGGUUGAAACUCAAAGGAAUUGACGGGGACCCGCACAAGCGGUGGAGCAUGUGGUUUAAUUCGAAGCAACGCGAAGAACCUUACCAAAUCUUGACAUCCUUUGACAACUCUAGAGAUAGAGCCUUCCCCUUCGGGGGACAAAGUGACAGGUGGUGCAUGGUUGUCGUCAGCUCGUGUCGUGAGAUGUUGGGUUAAGUCCCGCAACGAGCGCAACCCUUAAGCUUAGCUGCCAUCAUUAAGUUGGGCACUCUAAGUUGACUGCCGGUGACAAACCGGAGGAAGGUGGGGAUGACGUCAAAUCAUCAUGCCCCUUAUGAUUUGGGCUACACACGUGCUACAAUGGACAAUACAAAGGGCAGCGAAACCGCGAGGUCAAGCAAAUCCCAUAAAGUUGUUCUCAGUUCGGAUUGUAGUCUGCAACUCGACUACAUGAAGCUGGAAUCGCUAGUAAUCGUAGAUCAGCAUGCUACGGUGAAUACGUUCCCGGGUCU
RNAcentral lists this ribosomal RNA (1372 nucleotides) under uncultured bacterium. RNAcentral's name for it is "bacterial SSU rRNA". It matches the Rfam family "Bacterial small subunit ribosomal RNA", at positions 28 to 1381 of the family's 1533-position model. The record is from RNAcentral.